Molecule: long non-coding RNA, 878 nt
Organism: Mytilus californianus (California mussel)
Lineage: Eukaryota; Metazoa; Mollusca; Bivalvia; Mytilida; Mytilidae
Exons: 2
Source: RefSeq, a predicted model, not a curated record
GGAUUUUUAUACGACCGCAAAAAAAAUUUUUGUGGUCGUAUAUUGGUAUGACGUUGGCGUCGUCGUCGUCCGAAGACACAUUAGUUUUUGCACUCUAACUUUAGUUUAAGUGAAUGGAUCUCUAUGAAAUUUUACCAUAAGGUUCAAUACCACAAAAGGAAGGUUGGGAUUGAUUUUGGGGGUUAUGUUACCAACAGUUAAGGAAUUAGGGGCCAAAAAUAAGCAUUUUUGUAACUUCCAGACAUAACUUGUGUGUUAGUGUAUGGAUCUCUGACAUUGUACCACAAGGUUCCAUAUCACACAGGGAAUGCUGGGAUUAAUUUUGGGGGUAAUUGCCUCAAAAUAUUAGAAAUAAGGGGCCAAAAAAGGGGCAAAAAACAAGCAUUUUUUUAGUUUCAUGACAAUAACUUGUGUGUAAGUGUAUGGAUCUUUCUGAAAUUGUACUACAAGGUUCCAUAUCACAAAGGGAAAGCUGGAAUUGAGUUUGGGGGUAAUUGCCCAAAACGUUUAGGAAUAAGGGGCCAAAAAGGGGCCAAAAAUAAGCAUUUUUCUAGUUUCCAGACAAUAACUUGUGUUCAAGUGUAUGGAUCUCUCUGAAAUUGUACCACAAGGUUCCAUAUCACACAGGGAAUGCUGGGAUUGAUUUUGGGGGUAAUUGCCCAAAACGUUUAGGAAUAAGGGGCCAAAAAGGGGCCAAAAAUAAGCAUUUUUCUAGUUUCCAGACAAUAACUUGUGUUCAAGUGUAUGGAUCUCUCUGAAAUUGUACUCCAAGGUACCAUACCACAAAGGAAAAGCUGGGAUUGAGUUUGGGGGUGAUGAAUCAUAAGGGGGUUCAAAAAAUUUGGGGGGGGGGGAUUUUUUUUUUUUUCCUUUUUUUU